This 450-nucleotide ribosomal RNA is filed under the name uncultured bacterium. RNAcentral describes it as "partial 16S ribosomal RNA". It matches the Rfam family "Bacterial small subunit ribosomal RNA", at positions 354 to 796 of the family's 1533-position model. The record is from RNAcentral.
GCUAAGAAUAUUCCGCAAUGGACGAAAGUCUGACGGAGCGACGCCGCGUGGAUGAUGAAGGCCGAAAGGUUGUAAAGUCCUUUUGCUGGGGAAGAAUAAGCGUGGGAGGGAAUGCCCGCGUGAUGACAUGAACCGGCGAAUAAGCCCCGGCUAACUACGUGCCAGCAGCCGCGGUAACACGUAGGGGGCAAGCGUUGUUCGGAAUUACUGGGCGUAAAGGGCAUGUAGGCGGCCUUGUAAGCUUGGCGUGAAAGUGCACGGCUUAACCGUGGGAGUGCGUUGAGAACUGCGAGGCUUGAGUGACGGAGAGGGAGCUAGAAUUCCUGGUGUAGGGGUGGAAUCUGUAGAUAUCAGGAAGAAUACCAAUGGCGAAGGCAAGCUCCUGGCCGAUGACUGACGCUGAGGUGCGAAAGUGUGGGGAUCAAACAGGAAUAGAUACCCGGGUAGUCC